RNAcentral lists this ribosomal RNA (1430 nucleotides) under metagenome. RNAcentral describes it as "bacterial SSU rRNA". It matches the Rfam family "Archaeal small subunit ribosomal RNA". The record is from RNAcentral.
GUUGAUCCUGCCGGAGGCUAUUGCUAUCCGAAUCCGACUAAGCCAUGCUAGUUUUGGAAUCAAUUUUGGUUCCAGGGCGGAAAGCUCAGUAAUAUGUGGUUAAUCUGCCCUUAGGUUCAGGAUAAUCUUGGGAAACUGAGGCUAAUACUGGAUAGGCAAGGGACGCUGGAAUGCCCCCUUGCUUAAGGAUUUAUCGCCUAAGGAUGGGACUGCAGCAGAUUAGGUUUUUAUGAGAGUAAUGUCCUCAUAAGCCGAUAAUCUGUAUGGGCUUUGAGAGAAGAAACCCGGAGAUGGAUUCUGAGACAAGAAUCCAGGCCCUACGGGGCGCAGCAGGCGCGAAACAUUCCCAAUGACCGCAAGGUUGAGGAUGGGAUUCGGAGUGCUACUUCUUUAAGGAGUAGCUUUUGUUAAGUUUAAACCGCUUAUCGAAUAAGUGGUGGGUAAGACGGGUGCCAGCCGCCGCGGUAAUACCCGCGCCACAAGUGAUAGUCUCGAUUAUUGGGUUUAAAGCGUCCGUAGCCGGUUCGUUAAGUUCUUAGUGAAAUACCAUAGCUAACUAUGGUGCUUGCUAGGGGUACUGACAGGCUAGAGAACGGGAGAAGUCUGGGGUAUUCCUGGGGUAGGGGUAAAAUCCUGUAAUCCUAGGAGGACCACCUGUGGCGAAGGCGCCAGACUAGAACGAUUCUGACGGUGAGGGACGAAAGCUUGGGGAGCAAAGGGGAUUAGAUACCCCCGUAGUCCUAGCUGUAAACGAUGCCCACUAGUUGUUGGAGUUCUUACGGGGGACUUCAAUGUCGUAGCGAAAGCGUUAAGUGGGCCACCUGGGGAGUACGGUCGCAAGGCUGAAACUUAAGGGAAUUGGCGGGGGAGCACACAAGGGGUGGAGGCUACGGUUUAAUUCGAUUCAACGCGAGGAACCUUACCAGAAGCGACAGCAGAAUGAAGGUCAGGCUGAAGGUCUUACCAGACAAGCUGAGAGGUGUUGCAUGGCCGUCGCCAGUUCGUGCCGUGAGGUGUCCUGUUAAGUCAGGUAACGAACAAGACCCGCGCCCUAUGUUGCUAGGACAUUUUUAUGUCUGCACUCAUAGGGAACCGCUGGUGAUAAGCCAGAGGAAGGUGCGGUCGACGGCAGGUCAGUAUGGCCUGAAUCUUCUGGGUUACACGCGGCCUACAAUGGACGGAAUAAUGGGACGCGACCCCGAAAGGGGGAGCUAAUCUUUAAAUCCGUUCCCAAUCCGAAUUGAGGGCUGCAACCCGCCCUCAUGAAGUCGAAAUCCCUAGUAGUCGCUGGUCAUCAUCUAGCGGCGAAUAAGUUCUUGCUCCUUGCACACACUGCCCGUCAAGCCAUCCGAGUGGAGUUUCGGUGAUGCUUUGGUUUUUGCCAGAGUCGAGCCGCGGUUCCGCAAGGAGGGCUAAGUCGUAACAAGGUA